UUGACGGUACCCUACUAGAAAGGAGCCGCUAACUUCGUGCCAGAAGCGUCGGUAAUACGGGGGCUCCAAGCGUUAUCCGGUGUUAUUGGGCGUAAAGGGUCGUGUAGGUGGUUGGGUAAGUUAUCUUUCAAAUAUCUUUGCUUAACAAAGAGGAGGGGGAUAAUACUGCUCGACUAGAAUUUUCUCAAGGGAGAUCGGAACUGAGGGAGGAGUAGUGAAAUGCGUUGAUACCCUCGGGAACACCAGUGGCGUAGGCGGAUCUCUGGGAGAAGAUUGACACUGAGACACGAAAGCUAGGGGAGCGAAGCAGAUUAGAGACCUGCGUAGUCCUAGCCGUAAACGCAUGCUUGCUAGCUGCAUGAAUCUACCUUCGGGUGGUAUCGUGUGGCGAAGGUAACCCGUUAAGCAAGCCGCCUGGAAAGUACGGCCGCAAGGCUGAAAUUCAAAGGAAUUGGCGGGGAGGCACACAACCAGUGGAACAUGUGGUUUAAUUCGAGACUAACCGAAGAACCUCACCAGGGUUUGACAUGUAGCUGCACGUCUUAAGAAAUUAAGACUCUCUUGAAGGUGCUACACAGGUGCUGCAUGGCUGUCGUCAGCUCGUUCCGUGAGGAGUGCCCUUAAGUGGGACAACGAGCGCAACCCCUAUUACAUGUUAGAAAUGUCAUGUAAGACUGCCUUGCCAUUUGGCGGGGAGGAAGGAGGGGCAGACGUCAAGUCCGCAUGGUCCUUAUGCCCUGGGCUACACACAUGUUACAAUGAGUACGGCAAUGAGUCUGUCGCGAGCACGUAAGUGUAAGCUAAUCUCUUAAAUGUACUCUCAGUGGGGAUUGAGGUCUGCAACUCGACCUCAUGAACACGGAAUUGGUAGUAAUCGCGGGUCAGCUAUACCGCGGUGAUACGUUCUUGCCUCUUGCACACACCGCCCGUCAAACCAGCAAAGU
This 944-nucleotide ribosomal RNA is filed under the name uncultured organism. RNAcentral describes it as "bacterial SSU rRNA". It matches the Rfam family "Bacterial small subunit ribosomal RNA", at positions 469 to 1411 of the family's 1533-position model. The record is from RNAcentral.